Molecule: ribosomal RNA, 292 nt
Filed under: uncultured bacterium
Lineage: Bacteria
Description: partial 16S ribosomal RNA
Rfam family: Bacterial small subunit ribosomal RNA
Source: RNAcentral
GUGUCAGCAGCCGCGGUAAGACAGAGGCCUCGAGCGUUAGGCGGAAUCACUGGGCUUAAAGCGUGUGUAGGCGGAUCGUUAAGUGUCUUGUGAAAUCCCACGGCUCAACCGUGGAACGGCUGGGCAUACUGGCGAUCUUGAGCUGCCUAGGGGCGACCGGAACAAACGGUGGAGCGGUGAAAUGCGUAGAUAUCGUUUGGAACGCCGAUGGUGAAAACAGGUCGCUGGGGGCAUGCUGACGCUGAGACACGAAAGCCAGGGGAGCAAACGGGAUUAGAAACCCCCGUAGUCC